This 1820-nucleotide ribosomal RNA is filed under the name Heterophryidae sp. 4 VVZ-2016. RNAcentral's name for it is "partial 18S ribosomal RNA". It matches the Rfam family "Eukaryotic small subunit ribosomal RNA", at positions 24 to 1532 of the family's 1831-position model. The record is from RNAcentral. Lineage: Eukaryota; Centroplasthelida; Pterocystida; Heterophryidae.
UCAUAUGCUUGUCUCUAAGAUUAAGCCAUGCAUGUCUAAGAAUCAGCCCACAGAACGGCAAAUCUGCGAAUGGCUCAUUACAUCAGUUAUUGUUUAUUUGAUGGUUACCUUGCGAUUUUUAAUCGGGUCGCGGGCUACAUGGAUAACCGUAGUAAUUCUAGAGCUAAUACAUGCUUAACAAAGAAAGGCACUUUUGUUAGUGUCUUUUGGGUGCAUUUAUUAGAUUCCAACGCCAAUCAUUCGUUAAUGAUACAAAUACAUUGGUGAGUCAUGAUAACUCGAGCGAAUCGGGCACAACAAACCUUUUUGCUUUUUCACUAAGGCACAAAGGGCCCGAUGCUUCAUUCAAAUUUCUGCCCUAUCAGCUUUCGAUGGUAGGAUCUUGGCCUACCAUGGCGAUCACGGGUAACGGGGAAUCAGGGUUCGAUUCCGGAGAGGGAGCUUGAGAAACGGCUACCACAUCCAAGGAUGGCAGCAGGCGCGCAAAUUACCCAAUCCCGACACGGGGAGGUAGUGACAAUAGGUAACAAUGCCUUGCUGCGAAUGCAGCACGGGCAAUUGGAAUGAGAGUAACAACGCGUUUGACAUUAUUUAAACCCAUUCUCGAGGAGCCAUUGGAGGGCAAGUCUGGUGCCAGCAGCCGCGGUAAUUCCAGCUCCAAUAGCGUAUAUUAAAGUUGUUGCAGUUAAAAAGCUCGUAGUCCGAUGAUGAUGGUUGGGGGGUUGAUUGAGAGCUUGGCUUCUUGUUAAGCAAUCUUUCACCCUCACCUGAGUGUGAUUUUCAUUAAUCACACUUUGUACUUUGGGCUGAGCAGCUCUUUUUGAGUUGCUCAAUCCAAUAGUUUACUUUGAGAAAAAUAGAGUGUUCAAAGCAGGCGUUGAUUUGCCUCACAAUUGGCCCUUUUCAAAAGGGCUGACUUGAAUACAUUAGCAUGGGAUAAUGGAAUAGGACAUUGGUUCUGGCUUUUUUGUCUAAAGAGUGAUUGACAGGCCUCAAAGUCAAAUUUGAGGUUUUCAGGACCGAUGUAAUGAUCAACAGGGACUGUUGGGGACAUUCAUACUCCAUGGCUAGAGGUGAAAUUCUUGGAUUCAUGGAAGAUGAACUAGUGCGAAAGCAUUUGUCAAAGAUGUUUUCAUUGAUCAAGAACGAAAGUUAGGGGAGCAAAGACGAUCAGAUACCGUCGUAGUCUUAACCUUAAACGAUGCCGACUCGGGAUUGGACGACGUCAAAGCGGUUGCUUUGGUUUUUAACCAAGCAGUCGCAGCCGACUCGUUCAGCACCUCCUGUUAACAAAACACACAAGGGAAACCGUUAAGUGUUUGGGUUCCGGGGGGAGUAUGGUCGCAAGGCUGAAACUUAAAGGAAUUGACGGAAGGGCACCACCAGGAGUGGAGUUUGCGGCUUAAUUUGACUCAACACGGGGAAACUCACCAGGUCCAGACAUGGGAAGGAUUGACAGAUUGAGAGCUCUUUCUUGAUUCCGUGAAAGGUAGCGCAUGGCCGUUCUUAGUUGGUGGAGUGAUUUGUCUGGUUAAUUCCGUUAACGAACGAGACCUUGGCCUGCUAACUAGUUGCGGGGGUUUGACAUUUAAGAGCAAUCUUUUGUGUUAACGACCCCUUGCAGACCACCGUCAAAAGUGGUCGCCGCACUUCUUAGAGGGACAAUCUGCGUUUUUAGCAGAGGGAAGCUAAAGGCUAUAACAGGUCUGUGAUGCUCUUAGAUGUCCUGGGCUGCACGCGUACUACGCUGACGAACGCAACGAGUGUUUUUGUUUUGGGCCAUUAAGCAAUUUUUUGUUUCUUGGCCCAAAUCUCCUUGG